RNAcentral lists this long non-coding RNA (308 nucleotides) under Cicer arietinum (chickpea). RNAcentral's name for it is "long non-coding RNA (CARI_LNC002484)". Lineage: Eukaryota; Viridiplantae; Streptophyta; Magnoliopsida; Fabales; Fabaceae. The record is from RNAcentral.
GCGCCUGAAGCUCGUUUUCUGUGCCUGGGGCGCAUUUCCGGACAAGUAACACUGUCCAGGCGGGCUUGGAGCGUGUUUCCUGCGCCUGGGGCGCGCGACGCACAUCAACAUUCAUAAAAACACAAUUUUUCACUGUUUUAGGGAUCUAUUUAACUCUUGUGAAGUUGGGAGACUUGUGCCCUAACAUAGAAACUCAUAGACGGCCGUUUCUAACAUCAUUGGAGCUGUUUUAUCAAGAAUCAUUCAUGAAUUCUUUUUGUAAUUCUUCUCUAAUCUCUAUAUUUUUUUAUCUCAUCGAGUAACUAAAC